This 252-nucleotide ribosomal RNA is filed under the name uncultured bacterium. RNAcentral's name for it is "partial 16S ribosomal RNA". It matches the Rfam family "Bacterial small subunit ribosomal RNA", at positions 524 to 776 of the family's 1533-position model. The record is from RNAcentral.
UAUGGAGGAUGCGAGCGUUAUCCGGAUUUAUUGGGUUUAAAGGGUGCGUAGGCGGAUCGUUAAGUCAGUGGUCAAAUUGAGGGGCUCAACCCCUUCCCGCCAUUGAAACUGGCGCUCUUGAGUGGAAGAGAAGUAUGCGGAAUGCGUGGUGUAGCGGUGAAAUGCAUAGAUAUCACGCAGAACCCCGAUUGCGAAGGCAGCAUGCCGGCUUCCGACUGACGCUGAAGCACGAAAGCUUGGGGAUCGAACAGG